GGACGAACGCUGGCGGCGUGCCUAACACAUGCAAGUCGAGCGAGGAGAUCCUUCGGGAUGAUCCUAGCGGCGGACGGGUGAGUAACACGUGGGCGAACCUGCCUCAUAGAGAGGAAUAGCCUUCCGAAAGGGAGAUUAAUACCUCAUAACAUUGCAGUUUCGCAUGGAACAGCAAUUAAAGGAGCAAUCCACUAUGAGAUGGGCCCCGCGGCGCAUUAGCUAGUUGGUGAGGUAACGGCUCACCAAGGCGACGAUGCGUAGCCGACCUGAGAGGGUGAUCGGCCACAUUGGGACUGAGACACGGCCCAGACUCCUACGGGAGGCAGCAGUGGGGAAUAUUGCACAAUGGGGGAAACCCUGAUGCAAGCAACGCCGCGUGAGUGAUGACGGCCUUCGGGUUGUAAAGCUCUGUCUUCAGGGACGAUAAUGACGGUACCUGAGGAGGAAGCCACGGCUAACUACGUGCCAGCAGCCGC
This 476-nucleotide ribosomal RNA is filed under the name uncultured bacterium. RNAcentral's name for it is "bacterial SSU rRNA". It matches the Rfam family "Bacterial small subunit ribosomal RNA", at positions 27 to 518 of the family's 1533-position model. The record is from RNAcentral.